This 518-nucleotide ribosomal RNA is filed under the name uncultured bacterium. RNAcentral's name for it is "bacterial SSU rRNA". It matches the Rfam family "Bacterial small subunit ribosomal RNA", at positions 27 to 518 of the family's 1533-position model. The record is from RNAcentral.
GGACGAACGCUGGCGGCGUGCCUAAUACAUGCAAGUCGAACGGUCUUUCUAUGGAAGCUUGCUUCCACUGAGAAGAUAGUGGCGAACGGGUGAGUAACACGUGGGUAACCUGCCCAUAAGAGGGGGAUAACAUCCGGAAACGGGUGCUAAUACCGCAUAGUUUUCUUGGUCGCAUGAUCGGGAAAGGAAAGACGGCCUUUGUGCUGUCGCUUAUGGAUGGACCCGCGGCGUAUUAGUUAGUUGGUGAGGUAACGGCUCACCAAGACGAUGAUACGUAGCCGACCUGAGAGGGUGAUCGGCCACAUUGGGACUGAGACACGGCCCAAACUCCUACGGGAGGCAGCAGUAGGGAAUCUUCCGCAAUGGACGAAAGUCUGACGGAGCAACGCCGCGUGAGUGAAAGAAGGUUUUCGGAUCGUAAAACUCUGUUGUCAGAGAAGAACAAGUUGGAGAGUAACUGCUCCAGCCUUGACGGUAUCUGACCAGAAAGCCACGGCUAACUACGUGCCAGCCGCCGC